CGAUGAGUGCUAAGUGUUAGGGGGUUUCCGCCCCUUAGUGCUGCAGCUAACGCAUUAAGCACUCCGCCUGGGGAGUACGACCGCAAUGUUGAAACUCAAAGGAAUUGACGGGGACCCGCACAAGCGGCGGAGCAUGUGGUUUAAUUCGAAGCAACGCGAAGAACCUUACCAAAUCUUGACAUCCUUUGACAACUCUAGAGAUAGAGCCUUCCCC
This 214-nucleotide ribosomal RNA is filed under the name Staphylococcus aureus. RNAcentral's name for it is "partial 16S ribosomal RNA". It matches the Rfam family "Bacterial small subunit ribosomal RNA", at positions 807 to 1019 of the family's 1533-position model. The record is from RNAcentral. Lineage: Bacteria; Bacillati; Bacillota; Bacilli; Caryophanales; Staphylococcaceae.